Molecule: ribosomal RNA, 465 nt
Filed under: uncultured bacterium
Lineage: Bacteria
Description: partial 16S ribosomal RNA
Rfam family: Bacterial small subunit ribosomal RNA
Source: RNAcentral
GACGAACGCUGGCGGCGUGCUUAACACAUGCAAGUCGAACGGAAAGGCCCCUUUGGGGGUACUCGAGUGGCGAACGGGUGAGUAACACGUGAGUAACCUGCCCUUGACUUCGGGAUAACUUCAGGAAACUGGGGCUAAUACCGGAUAGGAAUCCUUGCUGCAUGGUGGGGGUUGGAAAGCUUCGGCGGUUUUGGAUGGACUCGCGGCUUAUCAGCUUGUUGGUGGGGUAGUGGCUUACCAAGGCUUUGACGGGUAGCCGGCCUGAGAGGGCGACCGGCCACAGUGGGACUGAGAUACGGCCCAGACUCCGACGGGAGGCAGCAGCGGGGAAUAUUGCACAAGGGGCGGAAGCCUGAUGCAGCAACGCCGCGGGCGGGAUGACGGCCUUCGGGUUGUAAACCGCUUUCAGCAGGGGCGAAGCUUGUGGUGACGGUACCUGCAGAAGAAGCACCGGCUAACUACGUG